CCAUGCCUACAACAUAGCGUUAAUGCACCAGAUCCCAUUAUAACUCCAUAGUUAAGCACGCUCGGGCUAGAGUAGUACUCGGACAGGUGACCACUCGAGAAGUCCUAGUUUUUUACAUUCC
This is a non-coding RNA of Picea glauca (white spruce), 121 nucleotides long. The record is from Rfam. Lineage: Eukaryota; Viridiplantae; Streptophyta; Pinopsida; Pinales; Pinaceae.